This is a long non-coding RNA of Leopardus geoffroyi (Geoffroy's cat), 722 nucleotides long. RefSeq lists it as uncharacterized. Lineage: Eukaryota; Metazoa; Chordata; Mammalia; Carnivora; Felidae. The record is from RefSeq and is a predicted model, not a curated record. The transcript has 3 exons.
UUCCAUAAAUCUAGCCGGUGUAUUAGCAUCUGUGUCCCUUGUAUUCAGACCUCCGUAGUGUGGCGUACGGGAGGAGAAGAAGAAGAAACUGGAGAAAGACAAACAAAGCUUAAGGAGGGUUGUAAAACACACCGAAGUAAACAGAGGCACUGUGGGAACAAGCCACUGUUGCCAGUUGAGAGCUUUAAGGGUCUCAGGAGGCAGGUGUUACCGAAGGGAGCGUGGCUUUGGGUCCACGAACUGCACGGAGGCAUUCAUUCAUUCGGACGCCCGUCCCAUCUGGGGUAGAUAUAUGCGAACUGCCUUCAGGAAGCUGAAGAGAGACAAGUAGCUGGAAAGUACAACCACAGUUUUCUCCAAAUGGAGUUUCAUUUCGAGAACUAGCAUGUCUGCGUAGCGAUCAGAUGGAUGAAAAGAAUAAGAGAGAGAAAAUGCCAAGGAGAUGUGGCUGCACAGGAGCAGAGCUGGGGAGGAGGAACCAGCAACGGGGAGGAGCAGAGGCCCCAAAGUCUGUGGCUGAACUGCGCCCUUACACUGAAUACCAGGGGUUAAUCUGCCAUAAUAAAAUCAGUGUGAACACUGCCAAAGAGGCCUGAGCAGACCCUCCAGUAAGUAAUUAAUUCUGGCUGCUUUCCGCUCUCCAGCUUUCAUCAUUCUUAAUGUUACCUAAUUGUAAAAUUAUUCUUCAAACUUUCCUACUAUAAAGGAAGAAAAUGCCCAGA